AUUGAACGCUGGCGGAAUGCUUUACACAUGCAAGUCGAACGGUAGAGGGGGCAACCCCUCGAGAGUGGCGAACGGGUGAGUAAUAUAUCGGAACGUGCCCAGUCGUGGGGGAUAACGUAGCGAAAGUUACGCUAAUACCGCAUACGAUCUAAGGAUGAAAGCGGGGGAUCGCAAGACCUCGCGCGAUUGGAGCGGCCGAUAUCAGAUUAGGUAGUUGGGGGGGUAAAGGCUCACCAAGCCAACGAUCUGUAGCUGGUCUAAGAGGACGACCAGCCACACUGGAACUGAGACACGGUCCAGACUCCUACGGGAGACCGCAGUGGGGAAUUUUGGACAAUGGACGGAAGUCUGAUCCAGCCAGUCCGCGUGCAGGAUGAAGGCCCUCGGGUUGUAAACUGCUUUUGUACGGAACGAAAAGGUCUCUCUUAAUACGGGGGGCUCAUGACGGUACCGUAAGAAUAAGCACCGGCUAACUACGUGCCAGCCGCCGCAGUAA
Molecule: ribosomal RNA, 496 nt
Filed under: uncultured bacterium
Lineage: Bacteria
Description: partial 16S ribosomal RNA
Rfam family: Bacterial small subunit ribosomal RNA
Source: RNAcentral